UUAGGUUAAGAAAUUAAGAGCAUACGGUGGAUGCCUAGACAAUAAGAGCCGAUGAAGGACGUGUUAAGCUGCGAUAAGCCAAGGUUAGCUGCAAUAGAGCGUUUAUCCUUGGAUCUCCGAAUGGGACAACCUAGUUAUUUGAAGAAUAACUGUGAAAACGGGAACCGGGUGAACUGAAACAUCUAAGUAACCCGAGGAAGAGAAAGUAAAAACGAUUCUCCUAGUAGCGGCGAGCGAACGGGGAAAAGCCUAAACCAUAUAAGUGUCAAGGAUGCAGCCGUUGCUUGUAUGGGGUAGUGGGAAGUAUAACAGAAGAACUGCAAGGUAUUCGAUAUAUUUAUUAAGCUACUAGAAUGACAUGGAAAGGUCAACCGUAGAAGGUGAAAGUCCUGUAUAGGGAAUUUAAUAAAUGUAUUUUAUACUCUCCCGAGUAGCACCGAACACGUGAAAUUCGGUGUGAAUCUGCGUGGACCAUAUCACGUAAGGCUAAAUACUCUUAUUGAUCGAUAGCGCAUAGUACCGUGAGGGAAAGGUGAAAAGAACCCCGGGAGGGGAGUGAAAUAGAAUCUGAAACCGUAUGCUUACAAGCGGUCGGAGCACCAUAUGUGUGUGACGGCGUGCCUUUUGGAGAAUGAUCCUGCGAGUUACGAUUAUUGGCAAGGUUAAGAAAACGGAGCCGAAGGGAAACCGAGUCUGAAUAGGGCGUUAAGUCGAUAGUUGUAGACGCGAAACCUGGUGAUCUAUACCUGUCCAGGAUGAAGCUGUGGUAAGACACAGUGGAGGUCCGAACCCACCGUCGUUGAAAAGCCGGGGGAUGAGGUAGGUAUAGGGGUGAAAAGCCAAUCGAACCAGGAGAUAGCUCGUUCUCUCCGAAAUGCAUUUAGGUGCAGCCUUAAGUGUUUAUCUGCGGGGGUAGAGCACUGGAUGACCUAGGGGGCAUACUGCUUACCGAAGUUAACCAACCUCCGAAUACCGUAGAUUUAUAGCUUAGGAGUGAGACUAUGGGUAAUAAGGUCCAUAGUCGAGAGGGAAACAGCCCAGACCACCAGCUAAGGUCCCUAAUUAUAUCUAAGUGGGAAAGGAAGUGAAGACUCCUAAACAACCAGGAUGUUGGCUUAGAAGCAGCCAUUCAUUUAAAGAGUGCGUAAUAGCUCACUGGUCGAGAGUCUUUGCGCCGACAAUGUAACGGGGCUAAGAUAUAAACCGAAGCUGUGGAACGUUUUAAACGUUGGUAGGAGAGCGUUCUGUAGGCCGUUGAAGGUAUACCGUAAGGAGUACUGGAGGUAUCAGAAGUGAGAAUGCAGGAAUGAGUAGCGAGAAAGAGGGUGAGAAACCCUCUCGCCGGAAGUCCAAGGGUUCCAGGGUAAAGCUUGUCUUCCCUGGGGAAGUCGGGACCUAAGCUGAGGCUAAGUAGCGUAGGCGAAUGGAAAGUAGGUUAAUAUUCCUACACCACUUAUAUUUUGUGAUGGAGGGACGCAGGAAGGUAGAUGCGCCAGGCGACGGUUGUCCUGGUACAAGCAUGUAGGAUGGUUUAAUAGGCAAAUCCGUUAAACUAUAUCUGAGGUGUGAUGUGGAAAAGGCAUUGAUCCUACACUGCCAAGAAAAGCUUCUAACGUUAAAAUAUAAGUGCCCGUACCGUAAACCGACACAGGUGGACAGGAUGAGAAAUCUAAGGCGUACAGGCUAACUCUCGCUAAGGAACUCUGCAAAAUGACCCCGUAACUUCGGGAGAAGGGGUGCCUUUUUUGGUGAAGGAAUUUACAUCUGGAGCUAAAAAAGGCCGCAGUGAAGAGGCUCGAGCGACUGUUUAACAAAAACACAGGUCUAUGCUAAGCUGAAAGGCGAUGUAUAUGGGCUGACACCUGCCCAGUGCCGGAAGGUUAAGAGGAGGAGUGAGAGCUCCGAAUUGAAGCCCCGGUGAACGGCGGCCGUAACUAUAACGGUCCUAAGGUAGCGAAAUUCCUUGUCGGGUAAGUUCCGACCUGCACGAAUGGUGUAACGAUUCGAGCGCUGUCUUGGCGGGAGGCCUGGUGAAAUUGUAUUACCGGUGAAGAUACCGGUUACCUGCAGUAGGACGGAAAGACCCCAUGGAGCUUUACUGUAGUUUGGUAUUGGGUUUUGAUGUUAUGUGUAUAGGAUAGUUGGGAGACAUUGAUUACAUGCCGCCAGGUGUGUAUGAGUCGUUGGUGGAAUACCAACCAUAUAACAUUGGAAUUCUAAUCUGAGAUGUGUAGUCUUGGAGACAGUGCUAGGUGGGCAGUUUGACUGGGGCGGUCGCCUCCGAAAGAGUAACGGAGGCGCCCAAAGGUUCCCUCAGGUUGGAUGGAAAUCAACCGCAGAGUGUAAAGGUAUAAGGGAGCUUGACUGUAAGACAGACAUGUCGAGCAGGUGCGAAAGCAGGGCUUAGUGAUCCGGCGGUACCGAAUGGAAGGGCCGUCGCUCAACGGAUAAAAGCUACCCUGGGGAUAACAGGCUGAUCCUGCCCAAGAGUCCAUAUCGACGGCAGGGUUUGGCACCUCGAUGUCGGCUCAUCGCAUCCUGGGGCUGGAGAAGGUCCCAAGGGUUGGGCUGUUCGCCCAUUAAAGCGGUACGUGAGCUGGGUUCAGAACGUCGUGAGACAGUUCGGUCCCUAUCCACUGCAGGCGUAAGAGUAUUGAGAAGAUCUGUCCUUAGUACGAGAGGACCGGGAUGGACAAACCUCUGAUGUACCAGUUGUCACGCCAGUGGCACAGCUGGGUAGUCACGUUUGGAAUGGAUAACCGCUGAAAGCAUCUAAGUGGGAAACCAACUUCGAGAUAAGUACUCUCUGGCAUUAGCCAAUAAGUCACCUUCGAGACUAGGAGGUUGAUAGGCUGGAGGUGUAAGUGUAGUAAUACAUUUAGCUGACCAGUACUAAUUAGACGAACUCUUAUCCU
This 2915-nucleotide ribosomal RNA is filed under the name Hypnocyclicus thermotrophus. Its description in RNAcentral is "23S ribosomal RNA". It matches the Rfam family "Bacterial large subunit ribosomal RNA". Lineage: Bacteria; Fusobacteriati; Fusobacteriota; Fusobacteriia; Fusobacteriales; Fusobacteriaceae. The record is from RNAcentral.